This 377-nucleotide ribosomal RNA is filed under the name uncultured cyanobacterium. RNAcentral's name for it is "bacterial SSU rRNA". It matches the Rfam family "Bacterial small subunit ribosomal RNA", at positions 376 to 770 of the family's 1533-position model. Lineage: Bacteria; Bacillati; Cyanobacteriota. The record is from RNAcentral.
CGCAGGCCUGACGGAGCAAGACCGCGUGCGGGAUGACGGCCUAAUGGUUGUAAACCGCUUUUCUCUGGGAAGAUGAUGACGGUACCAGAGGAAUCAGCCUCGGCUAACUCCGUGCCAGCAGCCGCGGUAAUACGGAGGAGGCAAGCGUUAUCCGGAAUUAUUGGGCGUAAAGCGUCCGUAGGUGGUUAUUCAAGUCUGCUGUCAAAGCGUGGGGCUUAACUCCAUAGAGGCAGUGGAAACUGGAUGACUUGAGUGCGGUAGGGGUCGAGGGAAUUCCCAGUGUAGCGGUGAAAUGCGUAGAUAUUGGGAAGAACACCAGUGGCGAAAGCGCUCGACUGGGCCUGCACUGACACUGAGGGACGAAAGCUAGGGGAGCG